CGUAGAUGAUCCAAGAACCUUGAACAAGACCCUCCUCAUUAAGCCUCCUAAUAAUGUUUACACUUUCAAUGAGCUUGUUGCUCUGUGGGAGAAGAAGUUGGGCAAGAUCCUCGAGAAAACCUAUGUUCCAGAAGAGCAGCUUCUCAAAGACAUCCAAGCUGCCCCAAUUCCAUUUAAUGUUGGUCUGGCAAUCAAUCACUCUGUCUUUAUUAAGGGAGAUCAGACAAACUUUGAGAUUGAG
RNAcentral lists this unclassified non-coding RNA (241 nucleotides) under Hevea brasiliensis (rubber tree). Lineage: Eukaryota; Viridiplantae; Streptophyta; Magnoliopsida; Malpighiales; Euphorbiaceae. The record is from RNAcentral.